GACGAACGCUGGCGGCGUGCUUAACACAUGCAAGUCGAACGGUACUUAUCCGAUAGUAAUAUUGGGUAAGUAUAGUGGCGGACGGGUGAGUAACGCGUGUGUAACCUGCCUCACACUGGGGGACAACAGUUAGAAAUGACUGCUAAUACCGCAUAAGCGCACGGGACCGCAUGGUCCAGUGUGAAAAACUCCGGGGGUGUGAGAUGGACCCGCGUUUGAUUAGCUAGUUGGCGGGGUAACGGCCUACCAAGGCGACGAUCAAUAGCCGACCUGAGAGGGUGACGGGCCACAUUGGGACUGAGACACGGCCGAAACUCCUACGUGAGGCAGCAGUGGGGAAUAUUGCACAAUGGGGUAAACCCUGAUGCAGCGACGCCGCGUGAGUGAAGAAGUAUUUCGGUAUGUAAAGCUCUAUCAGCAGGGAAGAAAAUGACGGUACCUGACUAAGAAGCCCCGGCUAACUACGUGCCAGCCGCCGCCGUAA
Molecule: ribosomal RNA, 484 nt
Filed under: uncultured bacterium
Lineage: Bacteria
Description: partial 16S ribosomal RNA
Rfam family: Bacterial small subunit ribosomal RNA
Source: RNAcentral